Non-coding RNA from Agelaius phoeniceus (red-winged blackbird), 6409 nucleotides. NCBI's taxonomy places the organism in Eukaryota, Metazoa, Chordata, Aves, Passeriformes, Icteridae. The record is from RefSeq and is a predicted model, not a curated record.
AUUUGGUUUAAAUCUUUCUUUUCCAUGUGUGAAGUGGGACACCAGUGCAUUGCAUCAUUCGGUUGUGCAUAUCCACUGGACAUGUGUUCUCUGCUAUGGGAUUAUGGAAAACUGCCCAAAGUUUUCUCUGACUGCUGCUGCACAGAUGCAAUCAAAAUCUGGGCAAUGUCCCUUUGUCCCAGUCUGGAGCACACUGGCCCUGAGGUGCAGCAUCCCCAGGAAGGCAGACAGCAGCAGGCUGCACAGCGAGGUCAUUUACCACUAGAUGGCUGGACCUCCUUUUCGUGCAGCUGUUUUGUUCCCAGCUCAGUGACCGAGCUUAGCCCUCAGUGGACUCGUUGUAAACUCUCUGCCCACCCACUUUAUAGCUUAACAUUUUGAAACAGCUGAUGCUUUUAGCAGAUUUACCUUCAUGAUGAAUAUUUCAAACUUUUGAAACUUACUGAAAAAGCUGUGGUAGCUUUUCUGCAAGACAAAGAGGAAACACUUCCUCAUCCUUGGGUUUUUUUCCAUUCCAUGUAUAAUACAAUUUUCACCAAGUCUUAUUUCAUAGGUGUAUGCAUAAGUGGGGCACAUUUAACAGUUCAUCACUCAGACUGGAAUACAGCAUCAUAGUGUCCUGAAUAGUCACUGCCACGUGCCUUGAUCUGGUGAAUUUGGUGGUAUAAAAAUCUGUAAAACUUUUAGACACUGACAUACACGUCACUGUGAUUUGGGGCAGCAAUGUCUUUCCUUUAAGAAAAAAUAUUUUGCCCACAGUCAACAUCUUCAAAAAAUUAAUACUUCUGGAUGAAAAAUUCCAACUUUCCUCACGAUUGCAGACUGAUACAUUAUACAGAGCAAGAAGACCCACUUCAAAAGGAAGAUUUCUCCUGCCUGAAAGCAGACAAGAGGAAUAGGCAAAAAAUCUGUUUUUUGAAGAUACCACUUUAGUUUUCCUUAUCAGUUUCUUCACAUUUUCAACUCUGUUACUUGUAUUUACUGGUUCACAUCAUGUGUCUAUAGAUGUAUUUGUAUCCAGAGUUCAAAACAAGAGAGAGGUAGGUUUUUAAAUUAAAAAUUAUUUUGGCUGUUUUGCUGUCACAGCACUGACAUUUUACACUUGCCACUUGCAGGAACAAGGAGGAGUGAAUUAUUGUCCCUGCUUCCAAGGUAAUAUAAUCUAAAAUAUCAAACCUGGAAGUCUUAGUGCACUUUAACACCUUUGUGGGAGCCCAAAGAUGUGCCUAAAGAUGAUGAGACAUGAAAUAGUAAGGUGAAGAUGAAUCUAGAAAUAGCUCUGGGGUGGGUUUUCUUUUCUAAGUAGCAGUCUCUCACAGUUCAAUUUUCUUAAAGCGCUAUGACAGCAAAAAAAAAAAGCUGAUGGUUUAACUAGUGUGGUGGAAGAGCAGGAAAUUCAGAUGAACUCCACCCAUCAAGACUCACAGAGAAACACAGGUAAUGAAGCAUUCAGCAGAGAUGAGCCCCAGAAUAAACAGACCUCAAAAGUAACUGUUCGACCCAACAGGAAUAUUAGUAGCUAUUCUGUUCUCAUCUGCAGAAAGGAUUCUGGUUCUGUUAAUGCAACAGAAGAGAGUAAGAAAGGCUUAGAAAUUUCCAUUUAAUGGACUUGGAGACAAGUAAAUUGUAAAUUUUUUGAAGUGCUUCCUUUUUACAGGUGCCUGAAGUGUAACAUGUGCAGAUUAUUUAUGAAGAGCAACCUCACAUUUGGAAGUAGUUGAGAAACAAAGUCCUACUUGAUCCUGUCACAAGCAGAAUGUUGUUACUGAGCCCAGAUUGUCAGAUGUAGCAUAAUUACAGCAGGUCCACUGAUACAAGCUAUACAGAAUACUGCUGUAAAAUACCUGUUCACCAGUGCUGAUACAAGUGCUACGUUUGCUGUGGCAGCUCUGCAUAACGUCUGAGAAAUCAGAAGUGUCAAUAGCAAAGUUGGCUUUUUCCACUCUGUUCUCAGCAACACAAUUUAGGCUCCCGCUUGCACAGAGGUCUGGGGGCUGAACUCCUGACCAAGCUGACCAAACAGGUAUUCCAUGCCUUUUAGUUCAAUUAUUGGCUAGGCCAUGGUGGCAAACUCUUCUAGAAACUGGGCUUUGAGAUUAAUUGCUCUUCUAGCCUCCCUUCCUACCACUCUGGCAGCAACUUGAAGCCUACAACAGCCAGAUUUGCAGUCGUGCACGCUCUCAUCCCACCACCUGCUUGCACUCCUUGACCUUCUGACAGGUCUGCAGAUGUUCCUGGAAAGAGGUGCCAGAAUGAUUCCUCAGGGAUUAUUCUUGCAGUAAACUCUGAUCCAGGCUCCCAGGAGAAACAAAAAUCUUCACAGGGAGGAUGGGAGAAGCUUGGGUGGUUUAGGCCUGAGCAAAGGAAACCCUUGAGGGGAAACAUUCUCAAAGAUUACUUAAAAUGGUGGAUUUGCAGAAAAUCUUAUCACCACUAAAAACACACUCAGAGGAAACAGUCACUCUCCUGAGUGGUAUUACAGAGCAAACACUGUAAGUUAAACCUCUGAGUUGAAUGUGUCCUGUAUUAUAUGAUGAAGAAUGACUGAAAGCAAGUCAGAGGGCCUUGAAAAACCUAAUGGACCUUAAGAAGAUCAUAUGGUGCUCUGUUACUGGAUAAACACCAGUUGUCCUUUUGGACAGAGCAUCUUCAAGAAUUAUACCUGAACCUUCAGGUAUACACAAGCAAUAGCCCAUGCUUGGGAAGUGAGAAGCUUCCAAAUUUGCAGAGUUUGUCCAGUACUUUUAGCAGUAAAAGUGAAAAAGAUAAAUUUGGCACUUACUGGAGUCUAAGUUUAUAUCCAUUUUAAGGACCAUGGUCCAUAGCACCAGUAAUGGAAGGGGAGGUGACUACCCACACUGAUUGCAGUUAUCCCUAAUUUAGGACUGCAAAUCUGUGUCUCUUUUUGUAGAAUAAUGCAUGUGUUUUAUCUCAUUAAACCCUGUCACUGUCGUGCCCAUAAAAUGGUUGUAAUAACUCCCUCAUAAUGAAUGCCCUUUGAGCCAGUUUGAUGGUAUGAGUGCUUGGAACCACACCUGCAGCCACUGCGUGCCAGUGAGCUAUGGACCAGGUAUGUUCUACAAUUCCUGCUUCACUGUUGUAUAGACUUGUCGGGGCUUAAUCCCUGAUAAGAUAGAGCUGUGUAAACUCGAGAAGAGGGGCUUGCUGAGGCACAGCACCAGUGCAGAAACAGAGCUGUGUGCCAGGAUGUUUGCCCCAAGCAGCACCGCGGUGCAGCCACAGCCCCGGGCGCUCCUCUGCCCCUGCCCGCACAGCCCAGCCGUGGGCAGGAAGCGUGCCACCACUCCCACCCCUUCCUCCCACAAGGAGCAGAUGCAGCAGCUCGAGGUGCCUGACACAAAAAGAAAUAAAGGCUCAGAUACACACUGUCUUGAGAAAAUAAAAUCAGACACGAUGCAGCUGGUUACUGGCUGUUAUUUAGUAAGCCUUAGCUGCAGUUUCUGGCCUCUAACCCUGUAGAGGUAUAGACACGCUUCAUGCUUUGUGAGUCAUCCUAACAACAUUGCUGUUAUCACAUUAUAAUGAUGUUGGGCUGGUCCUGUGAGAUGAUAUUAUUAUCCAGUAUUGAGAGCUAAGUUUCAGAUGAAAAAGCAGCUCAAUACUCACCAGUGUUACCCAUAACAGUAAUUAGUCAGUACUUGCACUUAUUAGUCUUGAGGGAAGCUGAAAUCAUGUUCACAUCUGGGGCAGAGCAUGUACUUCCACCAAGGCCAGUACAACUUGUAUCGCUACUUGAGUUUAGUUCUAUGAAAUUCUUAUCUCAGAAUUCCUUCUAAACCUAAACAAUGUCCCUUCAUCAGUGCUUGCACUUUUGCUAAGCAGAAAACAAAGUGGUUUUAUGAUUACAAAACUAUAAAAUGAACACAAAUGGCAUGAUGAGCUGGUGUGUUAUUUAGAUAACACCUCUGACUCUAUGAAUCUUGUCUGUCAGAAAGCUCUAUGGUUUCCCCAUGGAAAAAGACUGCUAUCCUAUGAAUUCCCCAAAAAAUGGAGUGUCUAGGAGGUAAGAAGACUUAUGGACACAGACACUGAACUUUUCUUAGACCACAGAUAUUUAUCUGAGAGCAUGUAGCACGAGGUGAGAUUGGCAAUGGGAUAACUCACGGAACUACAGCCUUCACUGUACUGCUCUGCUAUUUUUCUUCUCGAGUCACUCCUGCUUGCAUUUCUUUUUCCCUGGAAAAUGUAAAAGAAUUCAUAGAUCAAAAAAACAGGAGCUGACACAAAGACAGAAGUACUGGAUCUAAGAAAUGAUUGAUUUCAGGAAUUGGGUAGAGGACCCUUUACUUGGUGGGAAGUAAGAAUUUCAGAGUCCGCAACUAUACCUCUUUUAAGAUAUGAACUUCUCAAACUUGACACACUUCUUAAGAUUAGAGUUGGCCAGUCUUUAGUCAGAAGAAGUCCAUUUAUAUCUGCAUCUUAGAGAUGGGAAAUAGAUUAAGUCAUUCAGAUGGGACUUUAUCUCAAUAUCAGCAGCAAAUCAAAGCAUUGCUGGUGUUAUGAAGCACUGUGCUGCUAGAACCAGCUUUGUCAUUGAAAUACCGCCCAUUAGUACUCCUGUGCCUUGGCAGAUGAAUUAUGAACUGAUGGAAUUUGAAUAACUGUCUGGCCCUUCUGCAAGAAAAGGUAAUAUUGCUCCUGCUUAGUGUCACCUCGGGCUUUUGUGCCAAAACAUCACAGCAGAAUUCAGUGUUGACUGGUAACUAACAGUGAAUUUAAAGUGCUGUCACAGCCAUCCUGCUCAGCUUCCAGGCCUAGGUGCCCAAAGCAUGUAAGAAGCAAUCCACAAGAGAUGGCACAAAGCUGAAGGAUGGGGAUUUUUUUAAAUCCCUGUUUGUUUAGGACAGGAGGCAAAAUGUGUUUUCAGAGAGGCUGCUGCAGGUGCAGAAGGCUCUGCUACAGCUGGCAUUCUGAAAGAUCAAUUACCUAUACCAAAGCUGUUCUUCUGCCUUUGCUAUCUGCUUGCUUAUUACACACAAAGUGAAUUAAAAAGAGCAGGGUUCUGUGUUCAAUACCCUCUUCAAGUGAGCAAUCUAGCCCUUACAACCAGACAUCCUUAAGCUGAUCAGAUGAUGGGACAACAUGAAAUGCUUUUGGCUCUAAAAGGACACUUGGCUAAUAAUACUAUGCUCAAUUGAGAAACCAAGUGAACUCAUGUAAAUAUGAUGCUAUAAAUGAUGUAGGUUGCAUUUCUUUUUGAGUUGUUGGGAAUUAAUGGAUUGAUAGGUAAAACAUUUGAUAUUAUUACUGAAUUUAUCAUAAUAAAUAUUACUCUGCAAUAUUUUGCUCCUGCUUGUGAAGAAUUAAAAUGCUAAAGGGUGCAAACACGUGAUGUUAGGAGCAUGUUAUGACAGUGAUAUUAUAAAUGUUUGUACAGUUUGUCACCAAUAUUUGAAGCCACUUGUAAAAACAGCACCUUUAUAUAAUACAUUAUUACCAUACCCUACUGUAAGUGGUGAUGUGCCUUUAUCCACUGGUACAGAACACAUACAUGACUAAUUAUUCACCCUUUUCUACCCUCUUCCCAUGGAUGGGCUUGAAAAGACAGUGUUAAAAAUAGACACAGGGAUAAUACUCAUGUGAUAAACUAUACAGUCAUGGUUGAAGUGUAUAGAUGUGUUAAUUUCUCAUUUACCAAAAACAUCACUUAUUUUCAUAGAUCCAUUUCAGCAGAUGCUUUUUCUUCUCAUCAUCUACCAGAUGCAAUAGACAAAUAUUUCUCUUCACUCUCAAAAAAGACUCACAAGGCCCCAUAACUGAUAUGAUGUGAUCUUGAAUUAAGACUGUCUUCUCUAGUUCUAUCAGUAUCACGUUUCUGAAGUGUGUUACCUUGCAAUCCUGUAAAGAUGGGAAAUGUAUUUUAUUAUAAAGAAAUCUUCCAUCUGUUGAAUCAAAAGUUAUACUUGCAGAAUCACACAAACACAGAAUCAAUUAGGUUGGAAAAGACCUCCAAGACUGAGACCAACUUUCACUAAUCCCAACCUUGUCAACCAGACCGUGGCACUAAGUGCCACAUCCAGUCUUUACUUAACACCUCUGGCGGUGGCGAGUCUGCCAUCUCCCUGGGCAGCCCAUUCUAAUGUUUAACAACCCUCUUGUUGGAAGGAAUUCCUUCUGAUGUCCAACCUAAACCUUCCCUGGCACAGCUUGAGGCCAUUUCCUCUCAUCCUGUCACAACCUGCUUUCAGGGAGCUGUAGAGUGAUAAGGUCAGCCCUGAGCCUCCUCCUCUCCAGCCACUCCAUUAAGAGAUGGACCAGGAAACUUUGAAGACUUGAUCCAUUGAAAUGACGACAUCCUUCAGCAAAGAAAACCUCUUAAUUAUGCUGUUAAUGCCAGAUUAUGUGCACUCUGAAUUCCAAAGCAUAUGAAUAAAACUAAGCCCCAUAA